RNAcentral lists this unclassified non-coding RNA (201 nucleotides) under plant metagenome. RNAcentral's name for it is "partial contains small subunit ribosomal RNA, internal transcribed spacer 1, and 5.8S ribosomal RNA". The record is from RNAcentral.
GUAGGUGAACCUGCGGAAGGAUCAUUCAUAAUAAGUGUUUUAUGGCACUUUUUAAAUCCAUAUCCACCUUGUGUGCAAUGUCAGUCGUUCACUUCUAUGGGAACGACCAAACAUCAACCAACUCUUUAACUCUUUGUCUUAAAAAUAUUACUAAUUAAAUAAUUCAAAAUACAACUUUCAACAACGGAUCUCUUGGCUCUC